This 483-nucleotide ribosomal RNA is filed under the name Staphylococcus warneri. RNAcentral's name for it is "bacterial LSU rRNA". It matches the Rfam family "Bacterial large subunit ribosomal RNA", at positions 1088 to 1574 of the family's 2925-position model. Lineage: Bacteria; Bacillati; Bacillota; Bacilli; Caryophanales; Staphylococcaceae. The record is from RNAcentral.
GACCGCCAGGAUGUUGGCUUAGAAGCAGCCAUCAUUUAAAGAAAGCGUAAUAGCUCACUGGUCGAGUCGGCCUGCGCGGAAGAUGUAACGGGGCUAAACUGUGCACCGAAGCUGCGGCAGCGACACUAUGUGUUGUUGGGUAGGGGAGCGUUCUGUAAGCCUGCGAAGGUGGCCUGUGAGGGUUGCUGGAGGUAUCAGAAGUGCGAAUGCUGACAUAAGUAACGAUAAAGCGGGUGAAAAGCCCGCUCGCCGGAAGACCAAGGGUUCCUGUCCAACGUUAAUCGGGGCAGGGUGAGUCGACCCCUAAGGCGAGGCCGAAAGGCGUAGUCGAUGGGAAACAGGUUAAUAUUCCUGUACUUGGUGUUACUGCGAAGGGGGGACGGAGAAGGCUAUGUUAGCCGGGCGACGGUGGUCACGGUUUAAGCGGGUAGGCUGGUUUGCCAGGCAAAGCCGGAAAAUCAAGGCUGAGGCGUGAGGACGAGG